Molecule: long non-coding RNA, 1274 nt
Organism: Apis cerana (Asiatic honeybee)
Lineage: Eukaryota; Metazoa; Arthropoda; Insecta; Hymenoptera; Apidae
Source: RefSeq, a predicted model, not a curated record
UAUAUAUUUAGUAUAUAUCUAUUAAUGAUGAAAUUAUAAAUCGCCAAGAUCAAUGAAUGCUAUGAUUAAUAUAGUAUUUGCUAACUGAAUUUGUUAAAUGAAUAUAUAUAUAUAUUGUUUUAUACAUAUUAGAAUAUAAUUGUUAUUAAAAAAAGAUAAAAUUUCAGGUUCAUAUGACAAUUAUUUUUGAGAAGAAUCUUACAAUAAAGUGUUUAUGUACCAAUUAUUUGAAUGUAAUGUAAAAAAGAAUAUUACAAUAAAAUGUUCAUAUGACAAUUAUUUUUGAGAAGAAUCUUACAAUAAAGUGUUUAUGUACCAAUUAUUUGAAUGUUAUGUAAAAAAGAAUAUUACAAUAAAAUGUUCAUAUGACAAUUAUUUUUGAGAAGAAUCUUACAAUAAAGUGUUCAUAUGACAAUUAUUUUUGAGAAGAAUCUUACAAUAAAGUGUUUAUAUACCAAUUAUUUGAAUGUUAUGUAAAAAAGAAUAUUACAAUAAAAUGUUCAUAUGACAAUUAUUUUUGAGAAGAAUCUUACAAUAAAGUGUUUAUGUACCAAUUAUUUGAAUGUAAUGUAAAAAAGAAUAUUACAAUAAAAUGUUCAUAUGACAAUUAUUUUUGAGAAGAAUCUUACAAUAAAGUGUUCAUAUGACAAUUAUUUUUGAGAAGAAUCUUACAAUAAAGUGUUCAUAUGACAAUUAUUUUUGAGAAGAAUCUUACAAUAAAGUGUUUAUAUACCAAUUAUUUGAAUGUUAUGUAAAAAAGAAUAUUACAAUAAAAUGUUCAUAUGACAAUUAUUUUUGAGAAGAAUCUUACAAUAAAGUGUACUUAAAUCUGAAGAAUAAAAUUAAUAUUUUUUAAGAAAGGUAAUAAAUUUAUUAAUUUUUUAUGAAAAAAUUAAAUAAUUUUUAUUUCAAUUAUUAUGAUGAUUUAUUCACCAAGAUCUAUGAAUGCCUAUGAUUUUGAAUUUGCUACUUCUGAGAAUAGUGUAUAUAUAUAUUUAAUUGUAUGAACGCAUUUAAAAAUACGGGAACUAAUUCAUAUUUUCUUGUACAGGUAAUUACUGGUAAUACCGAAAUUAAUAUUUUUGAAUUGAAAUUGAAGAUAAAAAACAAUAUUAUAAAUAAUAAAUAUAUGUUAUAAUAUAAGUAUAUUAUAUUUGUAAUAAUUUCUACAUAUAUAUAUUGUAUAUUUUCUUUGCUAGAAUUACUUAUAUAUUUAUUAGUAUUAUAUAGUAUGUUUUAUAUUUUAUGAUUAAAUAAAAUUAUUAAAAAAUUUU